RNAcentral lists this ribosomal RNA (253 nucleotides) under uncultured bacterium. Its description in RNAcentral is "partial 16S ribosomal RNA". It matches the Rfam family "Bacterial small subunit ribosomal RNA", at positions 524 to 776 of the family's 1533-position model. The record is from RNAcentral.
UACGUAGGGCGCGAGCGUUGUCCGGAAUUAUUGGGCGUAAAGAGCUCGUAGGCGGUUUGUUGCGUCGGCCGUGAAAACUCAGGGCUUAACUCUGAGCCUGCGGUCGAUACGGGCAGACUUGAGUUCGGUAGGGGAGACUGGAAUUCCUGGUGUAGCGGUGAAAUGCGCAGAUAUCAGGAGGAACACCGGUGGCGAAGGCGGGUCUCUGGGCCGAUACUGACGCUGAGGAGCGAAAGCGUGGGGAGCGAACAGG